GUCUUGAAUUCUUAAUUUAUUUCCAUUUUGUUUAUUGAGUAGAUUUUUCAACUUAAAUUCAUGUUUGCAAGGUACAUAUACAUUUAACAUGAUAAAAAUAUUCAAAUAGUGCAAAGGUGCAUAUCCUUGGAGUACUUCUUCCUUCUACUCUGUUCUCUCUUGGCUGCCUACUUCCUCUCUUUGGAGGAAACCAAUUACCAAGGUCUUGUGCAUCUCUCCACAGACAGUUAUGCAAGUAUACAAAUAUGUCUACGUACAUUUAUCUUGGACACAGAGAUGUAGGACCAGAUCCCUUUUCAUGAAAGGACUUGUUGCUCCAGCUUCUAUGAGUGCUGUCCAUAGACACAGUCUUUAGCUGUCAGCCCCAUUCAGAGAUCAUCUCUGCUAUAGAGCUGCUUACCCAAGGCCAUGAUCUUCCCAGGGCAGCCCACAUCUAAUGACUCAAAGAGAAGGCUAUUUCAGCCUGACACUGGCCAUUUGUGAUGGAAAAAUUUAAUUCCAGAAUUCUUUCUUCACAGGGUGACUUAUCCCUCUGUUCAACACUGCUUCUGCACCCCCACCUGCCACAGACCUUGAAGAUCUUGAAAGAAAGGGCCAGAUACCAUGCUUUGCUCAACAAAGUCCUUCCACGAGAGAUUGCUGUGGGAACAUUCAAGGAGAUAAGUGGAGUAGAACCAAGCGACGUCCUUGGGAACGUUUCCUGUAAAGAUUUAAGUCAGUGGAAAAAUACGGAUUGUAGAUACAAUUCAAAAGUAUCCUAGGAAGGGGAAAUGACCCUCACAUGGGGCCCUUUGAGCCUUGGAAGUCCUAGGCAGCUCUUAUCAAACAUAUUAACAUAUACCCACAACAGUCCCAAUUUGGAGGCAAAAACAUUUGAAAGGCUCUUUCUAAUUUGGCUUUCAAAAUUAUUUCCGACGGGUAACUUCUUUGAUUCACACUCGUUACAACUUCUCAGCAAUCGUUGGGUACAGAAGGAGAAAUUUUAGGUCGGAAAAUCCAAUCCGCACGUUGUUUUUCAUUGUAAUGAGAUCCUUAUGAGUAUUAACUUUCAUAAUUGAUGAAGUUGACAGAUGCUGUAAUUUGCAGCGAUGCCAGUCAACAUUUUAAGAUUCUGAUUUCACAACUUCCAGAGUUUGGAAGCAUAACAUUUCUUUCUUUCUUUCUUCCUCUUUUUCCCCAGGUCGCAGGUAUUUUAAUUGGUUCUGCAAAUGUUCUCGCUGUGAGCCCAGGUGCUAAGGCCCGUAGUGCCUAAUGGGCAGAGCCACCCUGCUCGCUCCAGGCCCCGGGGGCAAGUGCGAUCCAGCUUUAUGCUGAACAGGGCAAGCUUAUUUUCUCUGUUGAAACCAAGUAUUUCUGUGGAGGAUUAGUUGGAUACAGCCUUCCUCGGGGAACCAGCUGUUUUUGUAAGUGAAUGCUUAGUUCAAUCAGGAGGUGUGGCUGGAGGGGAGACAUUGUCCUUCUCGAAAUCUGUGAAAGGUCACCAGAUGUAGGCCCUCAUUUAAAAAACAGCUCAAAGUCUGUUUUUUAAAAUAUUUUAUUUAUUUAUUCAUGAGAGACACAGAGAGAGAAGCAGAGACACAGGCAGAGGGAGCCCAACGUGGGAUUCGAUCCCAGGACCCCAGGAUCACGACCUGAGCCAAAGGCAGACGCUCAACCGCUGAACCCCCUGGGGGGGGACCCUCAGCUCAAAGUCUAUUAACACUCAGCCCCAGAUACAAGAUCCAGGAUCAAAACUACUGUUUUCUGUCACGAGCCAGUUCUUCUGGCACGAAUGUCCCAGCUUCUUUGACACCUGCCUUAGAACCUUUUCUCUUUCAUUCUCAGGUCCCCCUGGUGCCAGAUGUCACCUAUCACACCCCUGGGGACUGGCUGAAAGAUCUUAUCUUUGAACGAAGAGCAGGCAAAGGUAAAAACAGACAGAGGUGAAAGACAUCACUUAACCUG
RNAcentral lists this long non-coding RNA (1944 nucleotides) under Canis lupus familiaris (dog). RNAcentral's name for it is "lncRNA (ENSCAFG00000053322.1)". The record is from RNAcentral. Lineage: Eukaryota; Metazoa; Chordata; Mammalia; Carnivora; Canidae.